RNAcentral lists this ribosomal RNA (3008 nucleotides) under Acidaminococcus massiliensis. Its description in RNAcentral is "bacterial LSU rRNA". The stretch from base 1111 to 3008 matches the Rfam family "Bacterial large subunit ribosomal RNA". Lineage: Bacteria; Bacillati; Bacillota; Negativicutes; Acidaminococcales; Acidaminococcaceae. The record is from RNAcentral.
ACGAAAACAGGUGGUGCAUGGCUGUCGUCAGCUCGUGUCGUGAGAUGUUGGGUUAAGUCCCGCAACGAGCGCAACCCUUAUCCUAUGUUACCAGCACGCAGCGGUGGGGACUCAUAGGAGACUGCCAGGGAUAACCUGGAGGAAGGCGGGGAUGACGUCAAGUCAUCAUGCCCCUUAUGUCUUGGGCUACACACGUACUACAAUGGUCGGCAACAAAGGGCAGCGAAGCCGCGAGGCGGAGCCAAUCCCAGAAACCCGACCCCAGUUCGGAUCGCAGGCUGCAACCCGCCUGCGUGAAGUUGGAAUCGCUAGUAAUCGCAGGUCAGCAUACUGCGGUGAAUACGUUCCCGGGCCUUGUACACACCGCCCGUCACACCACGAAAGUUGGUAACACCCGAAGCCGGUGAGAUAACCUUUUAGGAGUCAGCUGUCUAAGGUGGGGCCGAUGAUUGGGGUGAAGUCGUAACAAGGUAGCCGUUCGAGAACGAGCGGCUGGAUCACCUCCUUUCUAGGGAGAACCGAAGGAGCCUGAGGGCUUGCUUCUAUUCUUCGUCGACGCACAUCUGUCAAGAACAAUAUUCGGUUUUGAGGGCUUCACCCUCAAACGAUCCAUGGGCCUAUAGCUCAGCUGGUUAGAGCGCACGCCUGAUAAGCGUGAGGUCAGAGGUCCGAGUCCUCUUAGGCCCACCAAUUUCUUGAAAUUGAAAUGGAUUGUAUGAUAUGGUUUUCGGUCUGCCGUCAUGCGACAGUCGAAAUAUAGCGGGGGCGUAGCUCAGCUGGGAGAGCACCUGCCUUGCAAGCAGGGGGUCAGGAGUUCGAUUCUCCUCGUCUCCACCACAUGAACCUUGAAAACUUCAUAGAAGAGACAAACAAAGUCUUAGACAUUGUGAUGAAUGUCUAAGCACCUCUGAUCUAAAUGCGAAUUUAGAAACGAGUAACGAGAAAUACCAGGGAACGUAAGUUCCUUAGUACUGAACCAGAAAAAUUGCGAAGAGAAAUUGCUCUGAUCCGCGAAGCGAGGAAGAGAGCCACCGGAGACAAUACUCUAGUAUGUCGAGGAUGGCGAACGACGAGCGACAAAGGAGCAGACAAUUUAUCGAAGCAAUUUUAAGUCAAGCUACUAAGGGCAUACGGUGAAUGCCUUGGCACUAAGAGCCGAUGAAGGACGUGGUAAGCUGCGAAAAGCCACGGGGAGCCGCAAGCAGGCUUCGAUCCGUGGAUGUCCGAAUGGGGAAACCCGCCAUCCGUCAUGGGAUGGCAUCCUUCGGGAGGGGAACCCGGUGAACUGAAACAUCUAAGUAGCCGGAGGAAGAGAAAUCAAACGAGAUGCCCACAGUAGCGGCGAGCGAAGAGGGCAGAGCCUAAACCAGAGAGCUUCGGCUCCCUGGGGUUACGGACUGGCAUAAGCGAAGUCCAAUCUAGUCGAAUCACCUGGAAAGGUGAGCCACAGACCGUGAGAGCCGGGUAGAUUAAAGAUCGGAUGAGUGGCCAGUAUCCAGAGUACCGCGAAGCACGAGGAAUUUUGCGGGAAGUCGGGGGGACCACCCUCCAAGGCUAAACACUCCUUAGUGACNUUCGUGUGCAAGCGUGUAGGCUGGUUACCAGGCAAAUCCGGUAACUGAGGCUGAGGCGUGAUGCGGAGGGAACUUGUUCCCGAAGGGAUUGAGCCUACGCUGCCGAGAAAAGCUUCUAGUGAGAAAGCUGCCGCCCGUACCGUAAACCGACACAGGUAUGCGGGGAGAGAAUCCUAAGGUGCGCGGGAGAACCCUCGUUAAGGAACUCGGCAAAAUGUACCCGUAACUUCGGGAUAAGGGUAGCCACAAAGGUGAAGGGACUCGCUCCUGGAGCCCGGUGUGGUCGCAGAGAAGAGGCCCAAGCGACUGUUAACCAGAAACACAGGUGCCUGCGAAAGAGAAAUCUGAAGUAUAGGUGCUGACACCUGCCCAGUGCUGGAAGGUUAAAGAAGGAUGUCCGGGUUCGACCCAAAGCAUUCGACUGAAGCCCCAGUGAACGGCGGCCGUAACUAUAACGGUCCUAAGGUAGCGAAAUUCCUUGUCGGGUAAGUUCCGACCCGCACGAAAGGUGUAACGAUUUGGGCACUGUCUCAACGAGGGACCCGGUGAAAUUGAAAUACCUGUGAAGAUGCAGGUUACCCGCGACUGGACAGAAAGACCCCAUGGAGCUUUACUGUAACCUAAUAUUGGGUUCUGAUACUUGAUGCACAGGAUAGGUGGGAGGCACGGAAGGCAGUCCUCUGGGAUUGCCGGAGCCGACGUUGGGAUACCACCCUUCAAUUAUCGGGAUUCUAACCGAGCGAGCAACGAUCGCCGGGACAGUGUUAGGCGGGCAGUUUGACUGGGGCGGUCGCCUCCUAAAGAGUAACGGAGGCGCCCAAAGGUUCCCUCAGCGCGGACGGAAACCGCGCGCGGAGUGUAAAGGCAGAAGGGAGCUUGACUGCGAGCCAAACACGGCGAGCAGGUACGAAAGUAGGGCUUAGUGAUCCGGUGGCAUCCAAGUGGAAGGGCCAUCGCUCAACGGAUAAAAGCUACCCUGGGGAUAACAGGCUAAUCUCUCCCAAGAGUCCAUAUCGACGGGGAGGUUUGGCACCUCGAUGUCGGCUCAUCACAUCCUGGGGCUGAAGUCGGUCCCAAGGGCUGGGCUGUUCGCCCAUUAAAGUGGUACGUGAGCUGGGUUCAGAACGUCGUGAGACAGUUCGGUCCCUAUCCAUCGCGGGCGCAAGAGAUUUGAAGGGGGCUGCUCCUAGUACGAGAGGACCGGAGUGGACGGACCGCUGGUGUACCAAUUAUCCUGCCAAGGGUAUAGUUGGGUAGCUACGUCCGGAACGGAUAAACGCUGAAAGCAUCUAAGCGUGAAACCAUCCUUAAGAUGAGAUCUCUCACAGCGUAAGCUGGUAAGACACCUGGAAGAUUACCAGGUUGAUAGGCAGGGUGUGGAAGCGUAGCAAUAUGUUAAGCUGACCUGUACUAAUAUGUCGAGGGCUUGACUUA